CAGUUAAAAAGCUCGUAGUCGGAUUUCAGUAUUAGGCCCUUCUCCCAAUACGGUUGUAAGUGGUCUUUACUUCCUUAACAGAAUCUUUCAUCUCAUUAAUUUGGGGUGUUUGGGGCCUGUUUCUUUUACUUUGAGAAAAUUAGAGUGUUCAAAGCGGGUUUUCGCCUGAAUAUUACUCUUGGGAUAAUAAUAUAGGACUUUGGUUCUUUUUUGUUGGUGACUUAGAACCGAAGUAAUGAUUGAUAGGGACAGUUGGGGUCAUUCGUACUAUGAAGCGAGAGGUGAAAUUCUUGGACCUUUGUAUGACGAACUACUGUGAAAGCAUUUGACUAGGAUGUUCCCGUUGAUCAAGAACGAAAGUUGGGGGAUCGAAGACGAUCAGAUACCGUCGUAGUCUCAACCAUAAACUAUGCCAGCUAGGGAUUGGAGGAAGAUCAUUUUACGUCUCCUUCAGCACCUUAUGAGAAAUCAAAGCAUUUGGGUUCCGGGGGGAGUAUGGU
Molecule: ribosomal RNA, 500 nt
Filed under: uncultured marine eukaryote
Lineage: Eukaryota
Description: SSU rRNA
Rfam family: Eukaryotic small subunit ribosomal RNA
Source: RNAcentral